Schizosaccharomyces pombe (fission yeast) is the source of this 234-nucleotide non-coding RNA. The record is from the annotation of a GenBank genome assembly. NCBI's taxonomy places the organism in Eukaryota, Fungi, Ascomycota, Schizosaccharomycetes, Schizosaccharomycetales, Schizosaccharomycetaceae.
GAAAAACUUCUAAGGGUUCUAGUUGGGAGUUUGUAGAAUGAUAUAAGUAGCAUUGGCAAUUUUUAGGAUUAGUAUUAGGAAUCACAUCGUCUGAAACAGGAAAAAAAAAGAAUGAAACUUCUCCACCAGUGAUACCACAAAACAGCCAACUCCAAGCGUCCAAAAAUGCAGAGUAAGGAUGUGAAAAGGGAAGUGAUAAAACGUGAUAGGGGGCAUCACUUGACGGCCGCAUAG